Tympanuchus pallidicinctus (lesser prairie-chicken) is the source of this 1143-nucleotide long non-coding RNA. RefSeq lists it as uncharacterized. The transcript is spliced from 3 exons. NCBI's taxonomy places the organism in Eukaryota, Metazoa, Chordata, Aves, Galliformes, Phasianidae. The record is from RefSeq and is a predicted model, not a curated record.
GGCAGGGAUAUUUUGCUGGAGGUCUGUCCAUACUUGAGGUUUUCUAAAGUCAACAGAAGCACAAAACCACAGAAUUGUAGUGACUCUCAUCACUGGAUUUCAGCAGAAGUGUGGCACAUCCCAGGAUAAAUUCCAUCUCGGUGAAAGCACAGCCCUCAGGAUUCCCUAGGGUUACUCUUGAACAUGUGGAGGUCAGGCUCCAGCUCUUCCUGUUAGAAGGAAACUUCCUGGCCACCUCAACACAUGCACAUCACAUUGCAGCACGGCAGCUGGCUGAUCCAUUCCUACCUACCCUCACCUAUCCUAUCCAUUCUCAAACUCUUACUCCCCUCUUAAGAAUGAGACUUCCACUGUCAUCCCACUCCCUCCAUAUUGUCGUGCCAUGGUUGGAACAACAGCAGACAAUGCUUUAUCAUUCUCCUCAUCCAUUGAAAGGAUUUGCGCAUGGUAUGGAUGUGCAUAAAAUUCUCUGAUCCUUAUAUAUGUGAGAACAGUGAAAAAGGAAAGAAUUCAAGAGGUUUUUUUAUACAAUUGUUGGUAUGCUCUUCAAUGCAGUUUUUUCAGGCCAUGACUCGGAUAAAGAAGGGAACAGCUAAAUGAAAGGGAAAAUGAAAAUGAACUCUCCUAAUAGAAGUUUAAAGUGAAGCGUCUGAUAUCCAGAAAAGACCAAUUUUGAGCAGAGCUGCAGCUCAUACUAAGCAGUUUUGCUGCACUUGCUCAUUCCUGUUUAAAUCAGCUGUCUUUUCUGAAUCUUACAGCAACGCGCUCAUAGUAGCAGCUAAGAAAAAGCAAGGGUUAGUAAAAUAAUCUCUAGUGAUAUCCUCCAUUCUGCUCUGAAGCAUGGGGGAAGGGGAGAAUAGUGUUCAGAGGAAAGAAUGAUAUUUACUACCAAACAACUUUUUUCUCUCCCUUACCUAUGGGUGAAGCUUAAAUCAUUUAGAAACCUCUAAAUGCAAAUAUAUGUUUCUAGUUUAAUUCAUUCAAUGUAUUUGUUUAUCAGGAAGAAGACAGAAGAAGAUUUCCUUUACCCUAUAUUAAAAAAAAAUCACUGAGUAUUGAGGCAAUCGUUUUAGUGUGUUCCAGCACUUUGCUGCAAAAAAAUCAUCAAAUUGAUGCAUUCUGCUGAUUGAAUGAGGACCAAAU